CCUACGGGAGUCUGCAGUGGGGGAUAUUGCACAAUGGGGGGAACCCUGAUGCAGCGACGCCGCGUGGGUGAAGAAGCGCCUCGGCGCGUAAAGCCCUGUCAGCAGGGAAGAAAAUGACGGUACCUGAAGAAGAAGCCACGGCUAACUACGUGCCAGCAGCCGCGGUAACACGUAGGGGGCAAGCUUUAUCCGGAUUUACUGGGUGUAAAGGGGGCGCAGACGGCGAUGCAAGCCAGGAGUGAAAGCCCGGGGACCAACCCCGGAACUGCUAUUGGAACUGGGUGGCUGGAGUGCAGGAGGGGCAGGCGGAAUUCCGGGUGUAGCGGUGAAAUGCGUAGAUAUCAGGAGGAACACCGGUGGCGAAGGCGGCCUGCUGGACUGCAACUGACGUUGAGGCCCGAAAGCGUGGGGAGCAAACAGGAUUAGAUACCCCUGUAGUC
RNAcentral lists this ribosomal RNA (440 nucleotides) under uncultured bacterium. RNAcentral's name for it is "partial 16S ribosomal RNA". It matches the Rfam family "Bacterial small subunit ribosomal RNA", at positions 338 to 795 of the family's 1533-position model. The record is from RNAcentral.